UACGGAGGAUGCAAGCGUUAUCCGGAAUAAUUGGGCGUAAAGCGUUCGUCGGUGGUGAUGUAAGUCUGCUGUUAAAGCGUGUAGCUUAACUACAUAUAGGCGGUGGAAACUACAUGACUAGAGUGCGUUCGGGGCAGAGGGAAUUCCUGGUGUAGCGGUGAAAUGCGUAGAUAUCAGGAAGAACACCGGUGGUGAAGGCGUUCUGCUUAGCCGUAACUGACACUGAGGGACGAAAGCUAGGGGAGCGAAUGGG
RNAcentral lists this ribosomal RNA (253 nucleotides) under uncultured bacterium. RNAcentral describes it as "partial 16S ribosomal RNA". It matches the Rfam family "Bacterial small subunit ribosomal RNA", at positions 524 to 776 of the family's 1533-position model. The record is from RNAcentral.